UCAACAGAGAGAAGCAAUACCGCCGAGGUGGAGCAAAACUUCAAAAAUGGUCUCAGUUCGGACUGUAGGCUGCAACUCGCCUACACGAAGUUGGAAUUGCUAGUAAUCGUGGAUCAGCAUGCCACGGUGAAUACGUUCCCGGGUCUUGUACACACCGCCCGUCACACCAUGGGAGCCGGUAAUACCCGAAGUCAGUAGUCCAACCUCGUGAGGACGCUGCCGAAGGUAGGAUUGGCGACUGGGGUGAAGUCGUAACAAGGUACC
This 264-nucleotide ribosomal RNA is filed under the name uncultured bacterium. Its description in RNAcentral is "partial 16S ribosomal RNA". It matches the Rfam family "Bacterial small subunit ribosomal RNA", at positions 1235 to 1500 of the family's 1533-position model. The record is from RNAcentral.